Molecule: ribosomal RNA, 434 nt
Filed under: uncultured bacterium
Lineage: Bacteria
Description: partial 16S ribosomal RNA
Rfam family: Bacterial small subunit ribosomal RNA
Source: RNAcentral
GAACGAACGCUGGCGGCAUGCCUACCACAUGCAAGUCGAACGAGACCUUCGGGUCUAGUGGCGCCCGGGUGCGUAACGCGUGGGAACCUGCCCUUAGGUUCGGAAUAACUCCCCGAAAGGGGUGCUAAUACCGGAUAAUGUCUUCGGUCCAAAGAUUUAUCGCCUUUGGAUGGGCCCGCGUUGGAUUAGCUCGUUGGUAGGGUAAAAGCCUACCAAGGCGACGAUCCAUAGCUGGUCUGAGAGGAUGAUCAGCCACACUGGGACUGAGACACGGCCCAGACUCCUACGGGAGGCAGCAGUGGGGAAUAUUGGACAAUGGGCGAAAGCCUGAUCCAGCAAUGCCGCGUGAGUGAUGAAGGCCUUAGGGUUGUAAAGCUCUUUUACCCGGGAUGAUAAUGACAGUACCGGGAGAAUAAGCUCCGGCUAACUCCGUG